RNAcentral lists this ribosomal RNA (482 nucleotides) under uncultured bacterium. RNAcentral's name for it is "bacterial SSU rRNA". It matches the Rfam family "Bacterial small subunit ribosomal RNA", at positions 501 to 985 of the family's 1533-position model. The record is from RNAcentral.
CUACGUGCCAGCAGCCGCGGUAAUACGGAAGGUUCGGGCGUUAUCCGGAUUUAUUGGGUUUAAAGGGAGCGUAGGCCGUAGAUUAAGCGUGUUGUGAAAUGUAGAUGCUCAACAUCUGACUUGCAGCGCGAACUGGUUUACUUGAGUGUGCGCAACGUAGGCGGAAUUCGUCGUGUAGCGGUGAAAUGCUUAGAUAUGACGAAGAACUCCGAUUGCGAAGGCAGCUUACGGGAGCACAACUGACGCUGAAGCUCGAAGGUGCGGGUAUCAAACAGGAUUAGAUACCCUGGUAGUCCGCACAGUAAACGCUGGAUGCCCGCUGUUGGUCCAUUAGGAUCAGCGGCCAAGCGAAAGCAUUAAGCAUCCCACCUGGGGAGUACGCCGGCAACGGUGAAACUCAAAGGAAUUGACGGGGGCCCGCACAAGCGGAGGAACAUGUGGUUUAAUUCGAUGAUACGCGAGGAACCUUACCCGGGCUUGAA